UAAUGGGACGAAGGGGAGGGGAGUGUGGAGGGAGGGCACCCAGGAAGUGAGCUGGGUGGGUCAGUGGGAGGGAGGAGAGGUUUAGGGAUCUAGAGCUGUGGGGGAUCUCAGACCCUUAACCCCAAAUCCCUGCCCAAGCCUCAGGUAAAUCCUAAACUUCAGCAUAACUACUCCCACAAAGCCUCAACUUAAUAUAAGGCCCUGAACUGUAGCAAGCUUAGGCUAUGUUUACACUACUGCGGCCAGUCAACCUGCACUACGCAACUCCAGCUACAAGAAUAACAGCUGGAGUGGACAUACCUUAGGUCGAGUUACAGCAGGGUGUACACCGUGGGGGGUCGACGGGAGAGCUUCAGGGGUAGAGUCAGGAGUAGAGAACUGGAGAGCGAUUUGCAGUCGAUUUGGCAGGUCUUUAUUAGAGCCGCUAAAUCGACCACCGGUGGAUCAAUCUCAGAGCGUCGAUCCCGGAUGUAGUGUAGACCUGCCCUUAAUAACCUAUUUAUUUAUGUUCACCUCCUUGCCCCUCCAGGCAUGUUCCAAGCUAAUAAGCAAUACUGUGAUAAUGGCAUUUUUACCUCUAGCGAGUAUAAAAUUGCCCACAAGACAUGAGACUAGGGCCUGGUCUACACUAUGAGUUUAAUUCGAAUUUAGCAGCGUUAAAUCAAAUUAACCCUACACCCGUCCACACAACGAAGCCAUUUAUUUUGAAAUAAAGGGCUCUUCAAAUCGAUUUCUGUACUCCUCCCCGACGAGCGGAGUAGCGCCAAAAUCGAUAUUGUCAUUUCGAAUUAGGGUUAGUGUGGCCGCAAUUUGAUGGGAUUGGCCUCCGGGAGGUAUCCCACAGUGCACCAUUGUGACUGCUCUGGACAGCAAUCUGAACUCUGAUGCACUGGCCAGGUAGACAGGAAAAGCCCCGCGAACAUUUAAAUUUCAUUUCCUGUUUGCCAAGCACAGGAGAGCAUAGGUGACCACAGAGAGCUCAACACAGAUAACCAUGCAGGCCGAUAAUCGAAAAAGAGCACCAGUGUGGACCGUACGGGAGGUACUGGAUCUGAUGGCUAUAUGGGGAGAGGAUUCAGUGCUAGCAGAACUUCGUUCGAAAAGACGAAAUGCCAAAACUUCUGAAAAAAUCUCCAAGGGCAUGGUGCAGAGACGCCACAAUAGGGACUCAGAUCAGUGCCGCGUGAAAGUCAAGAAGAUCAGACAAGCCUACCAGAAAACAAAGGAGGCAAACGGUCGCUCCGGGUCAGAGCCUCAGACAUACCGCUUCUACGCUGAGCUGCAUGCAAUUCUAGGGGGAGGCCGCCACCACUACCCCACCUCUGACCGUGGAUUCCGAGGCAGGGGUAAUCUCAUCAGCCACACCUAAGGAUUCUGCGGAGGAGGAGGAGGAGGAGGACGAGCUUGCGGAGAGCACACAGCACUCCGUUCUCCCCAACAGCCAGGAUCUUUUUCUCAACCUGACUGAAGUACCCUCCCAAACCAGUACCCAAGACCAUGAUCCAAUGGAAGGGACCUCAGCAGCUGCAAAUUUUUCAAGCCUCCCUCCUUUGUCCCGAAGGCCAUCUCCGAUAAGGCGGCGGAGAAAGAGGAUGCGAGACGAGAUGUUCUCGGAAGUAAUGGAAUGCACCCGCAAUGAAAGAGCUCAUUUGAAUGAGUGGAAGGACACGGUAUCUAAGUACAGGAAAGAUGCCAGUGAACGUGAGGUCAUGAGGGACGCUCGAGAUGAGAAGUGGCAGGCUGCAACGCUGGGCUGCAGCAUGAUCAAACGGACAUGCUCCGGUGUCUGGUGGAGCUUCAGGAACGGCAGCAGGAUAACAGACUGCCGCUGCAGCCGCUGUAUAACCUCCCUCCCCCCUCACCAUGUUCCAUAGCCUCCUCACCAAGACGUGUAAGAACGUGGUGGGGGAGGCUCCGUGCACCCUCCCACUCCACCCCAGUGGACAGCCCAAGCAUAAGGCUGUCAUUAUGUUGAAUUUUUUCAGUGGCCUUUUACUUCCCUCCUAUCCUCCUCUCAAACCUCACCCAGGUUACCUUGUCGGUUCUCUCCCUAUGUUUAUAAUCAAUUAAUAAAGAAUACAUGAUUUUUAAACGA
Malaclemys terrapin pileata is the source of this 2095-nucleotide long non-coding RNA. RefSeq lists it as uncharacterized. The transcript is spliced from 2 exons. The record is from RefSeq and is a predicted model, not a curated record. Lineage: Eukaryota; Metazoa; Chordata; Testudines; Emydidae.